UACCGGAAGUGGCGUAACCGGAAGACAAACCGACACUUCUAUGACGGUGUUUUCCAUUGUGACUUCGCUAUUCGCUGAUGCGGUAUCUAAGCGAAGAUUUUUGCUUUUCGUAGUGGUAUGUUUCGUAAAGAUGACUCAUCUGCACACAGUCUGUCAGCUAUAGCCAAAGUAUAUAUACAUUAAGCCGUAAUCGAAGAGAUGGAUGACAUCCAGGAGAACUCAGAGCCAGGCAGUACUCUUUACAGUCCCUGUUUGGAGCCAGACACACCGGAUUCCCUGAAUAAUGCCUGUCUGUUGAAUGACAGUGACCCCCUGUUUGAAGACCUUGGACACUUCCAUGAAUUUUCUUCCACUUUUGUUCCCGAGACCCCUAGCCCCCUGACUCACAGAAGAAAACGUAAUUUCCUGAAAGAUAGCGACAGAAAUGUGGUAAGAGAA
Long non-coding RNA from Sinocyclocheilus anshuiensis, 438 nucleotides. RefSeq lists it as uncharacterized. The record is from RefSeq and is a predicted model, not a curated record. NCBI's taxonomy places the organism in Eukaryota, Metazoa, Chordata, Actinopteri, Cypriniformes, Cyprinidae. The transcript has 3 exons.